This 720-nucleotide ribosomal RNA is filed under the name bacterium. RNAcentral's name for it is "bacterial SSU rRNA". It matches the Rfam family "Bacterial small subunit ribosomal RNA", at positions 66 to 777 of the family's 1533-position model. The record is from RNAcentral.
ACGGUAGCACAGAGAGCUUGCUCUCGGGUGACGAGUGGCGGACGCGGUGAGUAAUGUCUGGGAAACUGCCUGAUGGAGGGGGAUAACUACUGGAAACGGUAGCUAAUACCGCAUAACGUCGCAAGACCAAAGAGGGGGACCUUCGGGCCUCUUGCCAUCAGAUGUGCCCAGAUGGGAUUAGCUAGUAGGUGGGGUAAUGGCUCACCUAGGCGACGAUCCCUAGCUGGUCUGAGAGGAUGACCAGCCACACUGGAACUGAGACACGGUCCAGACUCCUACGGGAGGCAGCAGUGGGGAAUAUUGCACAAUGGGCGCAAGCCUGAUGCAGCCAUGCCGCGUGUAUGAAGAAGGCCUUCGGGUUGUAAAGUACUUUCAGCGGGGAGGAAGGUGUUGUGGUUAAUAACCGCAGCAAUUGACGUUACCCGCAGAAGAAGCACCGGCUAACUCCGUGCCAGCAGCCGCGGUAAUACGGAGGGUGCAAGCGUUAAUCGGAAUUACUGGGCGUAAAGCGCACGCAGGCGGUCUGUCAAGUCGGAUGUGAAAUCCCCGGGCUCAACCUGGGAACUGCAUUCGAAACUGGCAGGCUAGAGUCUUGUAGAGGGGGGUAGAAUUCCAGUGUAGCGGUGAAAUGCGUAGAGAUCUGGAGGAAUACCGGUGGCGAAGCGGCCCCCUGGACAAAGACUGACGCUCAGUGCGAAAGCGGUGGGGGAGCAAACAGAU